CCUACGGGUGACAGCAGUGAGGAAUAUUGGUCAAUGGGCGCGAGCCUGAACCAGCCAAGUCGCGUGAGGGAAGACGGUCCUAUGGAUUGUACACCUCUUUUGUCGGGGAGCAAAAGACGCCACGCGUGGCGUUCCGAGAGUACCCGAAGAAAAAGCAUCGGCUAACUCCGGGCCAGCCGCCGCGGUAAUACGGAGUAUGCGAGCGUUUUCCGGAUUUAUUUGGUUUAAAGGGUGCGCAGGCGGAAGAUCAAGUCAGCGGUAAAAUUGAGAGGCUCAACCUCUUCGAGCCGUUGAAACUGAUUUUCUUGAGUGAGUGAGAAGUAUGCGGAAUGCGUGGUGUAGCGGUGAAAUGCAUAGAUAUCACGCAGAACCCCGAUUGCGAAGGCAGCAUGCCGGCUUCCGACUGACGCUGAAGCACGAAAGCGUGGGGAUCGAACAGGAUUAGAUACCCCGGUAGUC
Molecule: ribosomal RNA, 459 nt
Filed under: uncultured bacterium
Lineage: Bacteria
Description: partial 16S ribosomal RNA
Rfam family: Bacterial small subunit ribosomal RNA
Source: RNAcentral